UCCAUUUUGAAUCGACGGAGCAGAAGGAGGGAAGCUGAAGUCUGAGGCAGGGGAGCGUUAAAACAACAUUACUCUUAUUUUACUGUCAAAGUGUCAGAGUCAGUUUUCUCUCUGUGGCGGGAAGAAGAGUCAGAAUGAACUUUUGUCCAGACAAAGACACUGAGGAAAGCAGGAAAUAACAUGAGGUGGUACUUCCUGUUCUCUCCGUCAGAAUCAACCGUUUGAUUCGUCUGUGACACGACGUUGAAUAUUCACAAUGGACCUACAACUAACCCAAGAACACUGACCAGACUGACUGAAGUCCAGAAGAUGAGUGAUGUGGAGGAAGAGGAGGACAGAGCAGAGUCUCCAGUCCCCAGCUGUCUGUCUAUGAAGAGUGACCGGUCCAAAGAUAAUCCUCUAAACUUCAGUAAUGAACCUGGACCUUCACACACACAAGGUGAGUCCUACAGACGGAGAGCAGAGUCUCCAGUCCCCAGCUGUCUGUCUAUGAAGAGUGACUGGUCCAAAGAUGAACCUCUGUUCUUCAGUAAUGAA
Molecule: long non-coding RNA, 537 nt
Organism: Seriola dumerili (greater amberjack)
Lineage: Eukaryota; Metazoa; Chordata; Actinopteri; Carangiformes; Carangidae
Exons: 3
Source: RefSeq, a predicted model, not a curated record